This 497-nucleotide ribosomal RNA is filed under the name uncultured bacterium. RNAcentral describes it as "partial 16S ribosomal RNA". It matches the Rfam family "Bacterial small subunit ribosomal RNA", at positions 28 to 507 of the family's 1533-position model. The record is from RNAcentral.
GAUGAACGCUGGCGGCGUGCCUAAUACAUGCAAGUCGAGCGAAUAGAUGAGGAGCUUGCUCCUCUGACGUUAGCGGCGGACGGGUGAGUAACACGUGGAUAACCUACCUAUAAGACUGGGAUAACUUCGGGAAACCGGAGCUAAUACCGGAUAAUAUAUUGAACCGCAUGGUUCAAUAGUGAAAGACGGUUUUGCUGUCACUUAUAGAUGGAUCCGCGCCGCAUUAGCUAGUUGGUAAGGUAACGGCUUACCAAGGCAACGAUGCGUAGCCGACCUGAGAGGGUGAUCGGCCACAUUGGAACUGAGCCACGGUCCAGACUCCUACGGGAGGCAGCAGUAGGGAAUCUUCCGCAAUGGGCGAAAGCCUGACGGAGCAACGCCGCGUGAGUGAUGAAGGUCUUCGGAUCGUAAAACUCUGUUAUUAGGGAAGAACAAAUGUGUAAGUAACUAUGCACGUCUUGACGGUACCUAAUCAGAAAGCCACGGCUAACUACGUG